This is a long non-coding RNA of Helianthus annuus (common sunflower), 2476 nucleotides long. RefSeq lists it as uncharacterized. The transcript has 6 exons. NCBI's taxonomy places the organism in Eukaryota, Viridiplantae, Streptophyta, Magnoliopsida, Asterales, Asteraceae. The record is from RefSeq and is a predicted model, not a curated record.
GUGUGUGUUCUGGUCGUACAAUACACAGGAGCCAAGAAGGGCUCUCAAGCUCAAACCCUAACAAGCAUAAAAUCAACAAAUUGAAGGGGUAAAUCCAACCUAAAUCGAAAUCCAAGCACGAAUUCAUGAUCACCUCGAUGAAGGGAUCAUAAGUUUGACUCUUGACAAGCUAGAUGGAGGCUUGGGGAAAGAAGCGGGUUAAACGGAUCGUAUACACGGAAAAGAGCAUAAUCCGGAUACUAGGAAUAAAUAUCGAUUGAAUGUUGACAUCGCUAUUACUUAGCGGCUACUAAGGCAAGGUAUCGAAACGGGUCAAUAUAUUGAUCCGAGCCAGGUGAAGAUGGACCUAAUCCGGAUGAAGAUCAAGCGGCGAGCAAGAACCGAACACAUGUUAAAUGAAGCUUCCGCGUCAAAUCUUGAUUUGUGUUGAUAUAAGUGAAUUAUGUAAACACUUAUAAAUUGUUUUUGAAAUGUUGUAAUCAUUUGGGAAUGUUGGUGUAACAAGUUAAAUAAAGACACAUUUUAGCAUAAAAAUUUGUAUCUUUUAUUAAAAUAUUAAUAAAACCAGACGGGCGUUACAAGUUGGUAAUCAGAGCUCAAGGUUAAAAAGAAUAAAGUGUUCGGUUCGAGGCUUGAUCGCAAAUCCGGUAAGUACAAGUAUGUUAAUGGUUUAGCGUGUUAAAGUGUUGUAAACAACACAUAGGGUUAUCUUGUAAUACACAUUACCCUAAUUAAAAUGAUUGAUAUAGUUGAUGAAAAUACGCGCGUUGACGCAUAUAGUAGAAAAAAAGCCUUGUAUUAUAAUACGGGCGAUUACUGAAGUUGAUAUUAUUAACUCUUGUAAAUGUUUUAGUUGAAGGACACUCGCAUCUAAAUAUAGCGGGAGUCUAACAAAUUGCGGACUUGGCGGAGGAACGGUCCAAAGUACGACAAGUAGAACAUACUCACCAAGGACCUAAAUCACGCAGCGAUCGCGAACAAGGCUAAUGGCAAGAAAAGCCUGUCAGGGCAAGCGUUACCAGUUUGACUCUUGACAAGCUAGAUGGAGGCUUGGGGAAAGAAACGGGUCAAACAGAUCGUAUACGCGGAAAAGAGCAUAAUCCGGAUACUAGGAAUAAAUAUCGAUUGAAUGUUGACAUCGCUAUUACUUAGCGGCUACUAAGGCAAGGUAUCGAAACGGGUCAAUAUAUUGAUCCGAGCCAGGUUUGUAUAAUGAUUCAACUCGUCAUGUAGAACUUGAGGUUCUAUAAGUGUUAGACAAGGAUAAAAUAUAGAUAUUCGGUUAUCAUUAAGGUAAACCGAAUAAAUUGGGUCAUGAUUAUGGUAUUUUAGAAAUAUAAUGGUUUCUAAACAAGAUUAUAGUUUUAAAAGUGGGAUUUUGGUCGAACAUGGCUUUAAAGGUCCUUCGUCGUAAUAGGAGGGGUAAAAGUGACCAAAAUGCCCUUAUAAGUGAAAUUAAGCAAACGAUCCCUAAAGGUUGCUUAGAAAUGAGUUUUGUAACCAAAUAGAUACUUGUAUUAAGUAUAAAAAGUGAAAUAUGUGAAUCUUUGGGUCAAAUGACUCUAUAUGAGUCUUUGCCGUAAAAUGAUAAUCCGAGGGGUAAAACUCGGAAUAAAUAGAUCUCCACAUUAAAUCCUCCACACAUAUAGUUGUGGUGGAAGAUAAAUUGAUAAAUAAUAUGGAAGUACAAUGCUAGAAGUGAAUGGGUAUGAAUUAUGCGGUAAAAGUGCUUAAAUACCCUUAACGGGUCAAAAUAAGCUUCUAAGUCAAAACGGGUUAAAGAAGGUAUACAAGCCCGUGAUUUUGAGCCUAAUAUAAUAGGAGAUAUUGAAAUUAUGAAGUUCAUGGGUUUAAAGAUCAAAUAGGCAUGUUUGUUUGAUAAAAUCACGAACGGGUCAAAAUUUGGUAAAAAGGGUAAUAAGCCAAAGAUUUAAAAGUCUUAAAUUUUUUUUAAUCCAGAUGUCGGAUUUUAACUCCACGUGAUGGAGAAUUAAAUUACGGACGCGUAGGAAAAAGAAUUGUGUAAAACGGAUUAAAAACGAGAGAGUUAUGUCCGUUUCGGUAAGAACUAAUGAAAAAUAAACGUGCAGAGUUAACACGGGCGGGUGACUUUUUGACACGGCCGGGUGGCUGGGCUGUGAAAAAUAUAUGUUAAGCUGACACGGCCGGGUGACUUUUUGACACGGCCGGGUGAAGGGGCUGAAAACAAAACAAAAAUAAUUUCUUGUUUUGUUACGUUAAGCACGGAACUUGUUUAUACUCGAUUAUUAAAGUGUCAAAACUAAUUAUUUACAUGGUUUUGACCGUAGGUGAAGAUGGACCUAAUCCGGAUGAAGAUCAAGCGGCGAGCAAGAACCGAACAAAUGUUAAAUGAAGCUUACGCGUCAAAUCUUGAUUUGUGUUGAUAUAAGUGAAUUAUGUAAACACUUAUAAAUUGUUUUUGAAAUGUUGUAAUCAUUUGGGAAUGUUGGUAUAA